GGUAUCGUGGCUUCGCCACAAUGAUAAACGCCAGACGGCUUAAUAACGCGUGAGUAUCUGCCCUCCGGUGGGGUAUACCUCGGAAACUGAGGAUAAUCCCGCAUACGACCUGCAUCCCUUGGGGUGCAGAUGAAAGGCUUCGUUCGCCGGAGGAGGAGCUCGCGUCCUAUCAGGUUGUUGGUGGGGUAACGGCCUACCAAAUGCCAAAGACGGGUAGCUGGUGUGAGAGCCCGCCAGCCAGAGGGGGACUGAGCCCGGCCCCCACUCCUACGGGAGGCAGCAGCAGGGAAUCUUGCACAAUGGGCGAAAGCCUGAUGCAGCGACGCCGCGUGAGGGACGAAGGCUUUAGGGUUGUAAACCUCUUUUCUCAGGGAAGAGCAAGGACGGUACCUGAGGAAUAAGCCACGGCUAACUACGUGCCAGCAGCCGCGGUAAUACGUAGGUGGCGAGCGUUGUCCGGAAUUAUUGGGCGUAAAGGGUCCGUAGGCUGUUUUGUAAGUCUCCUGUGAAAACUCCAGGCUCAACUUGGAGCGGUCGGGGGAUACUGCGAGACUAGAGGCUGUCAGAGGAAAGCGGAAUUCCCGGUGUAGUGGUGAAAUGCGUAGAUAUCGGGAGGAACAUCAGUGGCGAAAGCGGCUUUCUGGGCCAGUUCUGACGCUGAGGGACGAAAGCGUGGGGAGCAAACCGGAUUAGAUACCCUGGUAGUC
This 707-nucleotide ribosomal RNA is filed under the name uncultured Chloroflexota bacterium. RNAcentral describes it as "bacterial SSU rRNA". It matches the Rfam family "Bacterial small subunit ribosomal RNA", at positions 68 to 795 of the family's 1533-position model. The record is from RNAcentral. Lineage: Bacteria; Bacillati; Chloroflexota.